ACGUAUUACCGUGACAUUCUGAUCCACGAUUACUAGCGAUUCCGACUUCACGCAGUCGAGUUGCAGACUGCGAUCCGGACUACGACUGGCUUUAUGGGAUUAGCUCCCCCUCGCGGGUUGGCAACCCUUUGUACCUGCCAUUGUAUGACGUGUGUAGCCCCACCUAUAAGGGCCAUGAGGACUUGACGUCAUCCCCACCUUCCUCCCCGGUUUGUCACCGGCAGUCUCAUUAGAGUGCCCAACUUAAUGAUGGCAACUAAUGACAAGGGUUGCGCUCGUUGCGGGACUUAACCCAACAUCUCACGACACGAGCUGACGACAGCCAUGCAGCACCUGUGUUCCGGUUCCCUUUCGGGCACUCCUCAAUCUCUCAAGGAUUCCGGACAUGUCAAGAGUAGGUAAGGUUUUUCGCGUUGCAUCGAAUUAAUCCACAUCAUCCACCGCUUGUGCGGGCCCCC
RNAcentral lists this ribosomal RNA (458 nucleotides) under uncultured bacterium 3284com. RNAcentral's name for it is "partial 16S ribosomal RNA". The record is from RNAcentral.